AUGACAACCAAUACAGCACAGAGAAUAGCCUGGUGUUUCUACAGCAGGGUUUUCUACUCAAUGUAUUUCUACUGCAGGGUUUUGUACUCAAUGUAUUUCUACAGGAGGGUUUUCUACUCAAUGUAUUUCUACAGGAGGGUUUUCUACUCAAUGUAUUUCUACAGCAGGGGUUUCUACUCAAUGUAUUUCUACAGCAGGGUUUUCUACUCAAUGUAUUUCUACAGCAGGGUUUUCUACUCAAUGUAUUUCUACAGCAGGGUUUUCAACUCAAUGUAUUUCUACAGCAGGGUUUUCUACUCAAUGUAUUUCUACUGCAGGGGUUUCUACUCAAUGUAUUUCUACUCAAUGUAUUUCUACAGCAGGGUUUUCUACUCAAUGUAUUUCUACUGCAGGGGUUUCUACUCAAUGUAUUUCUACUCAAUGUAUUUCUACAGGAGGGUUUUCUACUCAAUGUAUUUCUACAGCAGGGUUUUCUACUCAAUGUAUUUAUACUGCAGGGUUUUCUACUCAAUGUAUUUCUACAGCAGGGUUUUCUACUCAAUGUAUUUCUACUGCAGGGGUUUCUACUCAAUGUAUUUCUACUCAAUGUAUUUCUACAGCAGGGUUUUCUACUCAAUGUAUUUCUACUGCAGGGGUUUCUACUCAAUGUAUUUCUACUCAAUGUAUUUCUACAGGAGGGUUUUCUACUCAAUGUAUUUCUACUGCAGGGUUUUCUACUCAAUGUAUUUCUACAGCAGGGUUUUCUACUCAAUGUAUUUCUACAGCAGGGUUUUCUACUCAAUGUGUUUCUACAGCAGGGUUUUCUACUCAAUGUAUUUCUACAGCAGGGUUUUGUACUUAAUGUAUUUCUACAGCAGGGUUUUGUACUCAAUGUAUUUCUACAGCAGGGUUUUCUACUCAAUGUAUUUCUACUGCAGGGUUUUCUACUCAAUGUAUUUCUACAGCAGGGUUUUCUACUCAAUGUAUUUCUACAGCAGGGUUUUCUACUCAAUGUAUUUCUACAGCAGGGUUUUCUACUCAUUGUAUUUCUACAGCAGGGUUUUCUACUCAAUGUAUUUCUACAGCAGGGUUUUCUACUCAAUGUGUUUCUACAGCAGGGUUUUCUACUCAAUGUGUUUCUACAGCAGGGUUUUCUACUCAAUGUAUUUCUACUGCAGGGGUUUCUACUCAAUGUAUUUCUACUCAAUGUAUUUCUACAGCAGGGUUUUCUACUCAAUGUAUUUCUACUGCAGGGGUUUCUACUCAAUGUAUUUCUACUCAAUGUAUUUCUACAGGAGGGUUUUCUACUCAAUGUAUUUCUACAGCAGGGUUUUCUACUCAAUGUAUUUCUACUGCAGGGGUUUCUACUCAAUGUAUUUCUACUCAAUGUAUUUCUACAGGAGGGUUUUCUACUCAAUGUAUUUCUACAGCAGGGUUUUCUACUCAAUGUAUUUCUACAGCAGGGUUUUCUACUCAAUGUAUUUCUACUGCAGGGGUUUCUACUCAAUGUAUUUCUACUGCAGGGGUUUCUACUCAAUGUAUUUCUACUCAAUGUAUUUCUACAGGAGGGUUUUCUACUCAAUGUAUUUCUACUGCAGGGUUUUCUACUCAAUGUAUUUCUACAGCAGGGUUUUCUACUCAAUGUAUUUCUACAGCAGGGUUUUCUACUCAAUGUAUUUCUACAGCAGGGUUUUCUACUCAAUGUAUUUCUACAGCAGGGAUUUCUACUCAAUGUAUUUCUACUGCAGGGUUUUCUACUCAAUGUAUUUCUACAGCAGGGUUUUGUACUCAAUGUAUUUCUACAGCAGGGUUUUCUACUCAAUGUAUUUCUACAGCAGGGUUUUCUACUCAAUGUAUUUCUACAGCAGGGUUUUCUACUCAAUGUAUUUCUACAGCAGGGUUUUCUACUCAAUGUGUUUCUACAGCAGGGUUUUCUACUCAAUGUGUUUCUACAGCAGGGUUUUCUACUCAAUGUAUUUCUACAGCAGGGUUUUGUACUUAAUGUAUUUCUACAGCAGGGUUUUGUACUCAAUGUAUUUCUACAGCAGGGUUUUCUACUCAAUGUAUUUCUACAGGAGGGUUUUCUACUCAAUGUAUUUCUACUGCAGGGUUUUCUACUCAAUGUAUUUCUACAGCAGGGUUUUCUACUCAAUGUAUUUCUACAGCAGGGUUUUCUACUCAAUGUAUUUCUACUCAAUGUAUUUCUACAGGAGGGUUUUCUACUCAAUGUAUUUCUACUUAAUGUAUUUCUACAGCAGGGUUUUCUACUCAAUGUAUUUCUACAGGAGGGUUUUCUACUCAAUGUAUUUCUACAGCAGGGUUUUCUACUCAAUGUAUUUCUACAGCAGGGUUUUCUACUCAAUGUAUUUCUACAGCAGGGUUUUCUACUCAAUGUAUUUCUACAGCAGGGUUUUCUACUCAAUGUAUUUCUACAGGAGGGUUUUCUACUCAAUGUAUUUAUACUGCAGGGGUUUCUACUAA
This is a long non-coding RNA of Oncorhynchus mykiss (rainbow trout), 2460 nucleotides long. NCBI's taxonomy places the organism in Eukaryota, Metazoa, Chordata, Actinopteri, Salmoniformes, Salmonidae. The record is from Ensembl.